ACGCUGGCGGCAUGCCUUACACAUGCAAGUCGAACGGUAACAGGGUUAAGCUGACGAGUGGCGAACGGGUGAGUAAUGUAUCGGAACGUGCCCAGUCGUGGGGGAUAACUGCUCGAAAGAGCAGCUAAUACCGCAUACGACCUGAGGGUGAAAGCGGGGGAUCGCAAGACCUCGCGCGAUUGGAGCGGCCGAUAUCAGAUUAGGUAGUUGGUGGGGUAAUGGCCUACCAAGCCGACGAUCCAUAGCUGGUUUGAGAGGAUGAUCAGCCACACUGGGACUGAGACACGGCCCAGACUCCUACGGGAGGCAGCAGUGGGGAAUCUUAGACAAUGGGCGCAAGCCUGAUCUAGCCAUGCCGCGUGAUCGAUGAAGGCCUUAGGGUUGUAAAGAUCUUUCAGAUGGGAAGAUAAUGACUGUACCAUCAGAAGAAGCCCCGGCUAACUCCGUGCCAGCAGCCGCGGUAAUACGGAGGGGGCUAGCGUUGUUCAGAAUUACUGGGCGUAAAGCGCACGUAGGCGGACUGGAAAGUCAGAGGUGAAAUCCCAGGCUCAACCUUGGAACUGCCUUUGAAACUCCCAGUCUUGAGGUCGAGAGAAGUGAGUGGAAUUCCGAGUGUACAGGUGAAAUUCCUACAUAUUCGGAGGAACACCAGUGGCGAAGGCGGCUCACUGGCUCGAUACUGACACUUAAGUGCGAAAGCGUGGGGAGCAAACAGGAUUAAAUACCCCUGGUAAUCCAC
This 739-nucleotide ribosomal RNA is filed under the name uncultured bacterium. Its description in RNAcentral is "bacterial SSU rRNA". It matches the Rfam family "Bacterial small subunit ribosomal RNA", at positions 33 to 798 of the family's 1533-position model. The record is from RNAcentral.